RNAcentral lists this ribosomal RNA (711 nucleotides) under Rhizoctonia solani. RNAcentral describes it as "eukaryotic LSU rRNA". The record is from RNAcentral. Lineage: Eukaryota; Fungi; Basidiomycota; Agaricomycetes; Cantharellales; Ceratobasidiaceae.
CCGUAGGUGAACCUGCGGAAGGAUCAGUUUUGAAUUUUAUWRAUGAGGAGUUGAGUUGUUACUGGCCUUUUCUACCUUAAUUUGGCAGGAGGGGCGUGUGGACCCCUCCUUUUUCAUCCAUCACACCACCUGAGCAGCUGUUAGGCGGCAAUAAUAGGUGGAGGAAAUUACAUCAUCCAUUUGCUGUCUACUUAAUUUACACACACUCUACUUAAUUUAAACUGAAUGUAAUUGAUGUAACGCAUCUAAUACUAAGUUUCAACAACGGAUCUCUUGGCUCUCGCAUCGAUGAAGAACGCAGCGAAAUGCGAUAAGUAAUGUGAAUUGCAGAAUUCAGUGAAUCAUCGAAUCUUUGAACGCACCUUGCGCUCCUUGGUAUUCCUUGGAGCAUGCCUGUUUGAGUAUCAUGAAAUCUUCAAAGUAAACCUUUUGUUAAUUCAAUUGGUCUUUUUUACUUUGGUUUUGGAGGAUCUUAUUGCAGCUUCACACCUGCUCCUCUUUGUGCAUUAGCUGGAUCUCAGUGUUAUGCUUGGUUCCACUCGGCGUGAUAAGUUAUCUAUCGCUGAGGACACCCGUAAAAAAGGUGGCCAAGGUAAAUGCAGAUGAACCGCUUCUAAUAGUCCAUUGACUUGGACAAUAUUCUAUUUUAUGAUCUGAUCUCAAAUCAGGUAGGACUACCCGCUGAACUUAAGCAUAUCAAUAAGCGGAGGA